UACGUAGGGUGCAAGCGUUAAUCGGAAUUACUGGGCGUAAAGCGUGCGCAGGCGGUUUUGUAAGACUGUCGUGAAAUCCCCGGGCUUAACCUGGGAACUGCAUUUGUGACUGCAUUGCUGGAGUGCGGCAGAGGGGGAUGGAAUUCCGCGUGUAGCAGUGAAAUGCGUAGAUAUGCGGAGGAACACCGAUGGCGAAGGCAAUCCCCUGGGCCUGCACUGACGCUCAUGCACGAAAGCGUGGGGAGCAAACAGG
RNAcentral lists this ribosomal RNA (253 nucleotides) under uncultured bacterium. RNAcentral describes it as "partial 16S ribosomal RNA". It matches the Rfam family "Bacterial small subunit ribosomal RNA", at positions 524 to 776 of the family's 1533-position model. The record is from RNAcentral.